RNAcentral lists this ribosomal RNA (415 nucleotides) under Klebsiella pneumoniae. Its description in RNAcentral is "partial 23S ribosomal RNA". It matches the Rfam family "Bacterial large subunit ribosomal RNA", at positions 2528 to 2925 of the family's 2925-position model. The record is from RNAcentral. Lineage: Bacteria; Pseudomonadati; Pseudomonadota; Gammaproteobacteria; Enterobacterales; Enterobacteriaceae.
GAUGUCGGCUCAUCACAUCCUGGGGCUGAAGUAGGUCCCAAGGGUAUGGCUGUUCGCCAUUUAAAGUGGUACGCGAGCUGGGUUUAGAACGUCGUGAGACAGUUCGGUCCCUAUCUGCCGUGGGCGCUGGAGAAUUGAGGGGGGCUGCUCCUAGUACGAGAGGACCGGAGUGGACGCAUCACUGGUGUUCGGGUUGUCAUGCCAAUGGCACUGCCCGGUAGCUAAAUGCGGAAGAGAUAAGUGCUGAAAGCAUCUAAGCACGAAACUUGCCCCGAGAUGAGUUCUCCCUGAGACUUUAAGUCUCCUGAAGGAACGUUAAAGACGAUGACGUUGAUAGGCCGGGUGUGUAAGCGCAGCGAUGCGUUGAGCUAACCGGUACUAAUGAACCGUGAGGCUUAACCUUACAACGCCGAAG